GGGGGCCUUACGGCCCGAAUCCGGUGAUCCGUGGUGCCGAGAAAAGCUUCGGCGUCAGGCGCGUUGCCGCCCGUACCCCAAACCGACACUGGUGGUCAGGUAGAGAAUACCAAAGCGAUUGAGCGAAUCCUGGUCAAGGAACUCGGCAAAUUGCUCCCGUGCCUUCGGCAUAAGGGAGACCCCCUGCGGUGAUGAGCGGCGGGGGGUGGCACAGGCCAGGGGGUAGCGACUGUUUACCAAAAACACAGGAGCGUGCGAAGGCGCAAGCCGCUGUAUACGCUCUGACGCCUGCCCGGUGCCGGAAGGUUAAGAGGAUCCGUCAGCUUUCUGCGAAGCGGUGAAUUCAAGCCCCGGUAAACGGCGGUGGUAACGAUAACCAUCCUAAGGUAGCGAAAUUCCUUGUCGGGUAAGUUCCGACCUGCACGAAUGGCGUAACGACUUCCCCACUGUCUCGACCAGGAGCUCGGCGAAAUUGCAGUACGAGUAAAGAUGCUCGUUAAACGCAGAAGGACGAAAAGACCCCGGGACCUUUACUAUACCUUGGUAUUGGCAUUAGGCGCGGAUUGUGUAGCAUAGGCGGGAGGCUUCGAGGCGGGUGCGCCAGCAUCCGCGGAGCCGCAAGGUGAAAUACCGCUCUGUUCUCGUUUGAUGUCUAACCUCGAACAGUCAUCCUGUUCAGGGACAGUGCCUGGCGGGUAGUUCAACUGGGGCGGUUGCCUCCCAAAGAGUAACGGAGGCGCUCAAAGGUCCGCUCGGCCCGGUUGGCAAUCGGGUGUCGAGUGUAAUCGCACAAGCGGGCUUGACUGCGAGAUCGACGGAUCGAGCAGGGACGAAAGUCGGAGAUAGUGAUCCGGUGCCGGCGCACGGGCGCGGCAUCGCUCAACGGAUAAAAGGUACCCCGGGGAUAACAGGCUGAUCAUUCCCAAGAGUCCAUAUCGACGGGAUGGUUUGGCACCUCGAUGUCGGCUCGUCGCAUCCUGGGGCUGGAGCAGGUCCCAAGGGUUCGGCUGUUCGCCGAUCAAAGCGGCACGCGAGCUGGGUUCAGAACGUCGUGAGACAGUUUGGUCUCUAUCCUCUGCGCUCGUUGGAAUCUUGAGGAGGCCUGCCCAUAGUACGAGAGGACCUGGGUGGACGAACCUCUGGUAUGCCGGUCGUCACGCCAGUGGCGCGGCCGGUUGGCUACGUUCGGAAGGGAUAACCGCUGAAAGCAUCUAAGCGGGAAGCCUUCUCCAAGAUAAGGAUUCCAUGCGGCCCCGAGCCGCUGAAGACCCCAUGCAGAACACGUGGUCGAUAGGCCGGACGUGGAAGCCCCGCGAGGGGUGGAGCCGACCGGUACUAAUGGUCGAGAGGCAACC
This 1355-nucleotide ribosomal RNA is filed under the name metagenome. RNAcentral describes it as "bacterial LSU rRNA". It matches the Rfam family "Bacterial large subunit ribosomal RNA", at positions 1570 to 2925 of the family's 2925-position model. The record is from RNAcentral.